Molecule: transfer RNA, 86 nt
Filed under: Lachnospiraceae bacterium
Lineage: Bacteria; Bacillati; Bacillota; Clostridia; Lachnospirales; Lachnospiraceae
Also listed under: 1 other name
Description: tRNA-Leu
Rfam family: tRNA
About the family: Transfer RNA (tRNA) molecules are approximately 80 nucleotides in length. Their secondary structure includes four short double-helical elements and three loops (D, anti-codon, and T loops).
Source: RNAcentral
UGCUGGUGUGGCGGAAUAGGCAGACGCAAAGGACUUAAAAUCCUUCGGGAGCAAUCCCGUGCCGGUUCAAGUCCGGCCACCAGCAU